GAGUUUGAUCCUGGCUCAGGACGAACGCUGGUGGCGUGCUUAACACAUGCAAGUCGAACGAAAAGGCCCCGCUCGCGGGGUACUCGAGUGGCGAACGGGUGAGUAACACGUGGGUGAUCUGCCCUGCACUUCGGGAUAAGCCUGGGAAACUGGGUCUAAUACCGGAUAUGACCUCCCUUUAGUGUGGGGGGUGGAAAGAUUUAUCGGUGCAGGAUGAGCCCGCGGCCUAUCAGCUUGUUGGUGGGGUAAUGGCCUACCAAGGCGUCGACGGGUAGCCGGCCUGAGAGGGUGGACGGCCACAUUGGGACUGAGAUACGGCCCAGACUCCUACGGGAGGCAGCAGUGGGGAAUAUUGCACAAUGGGCGGAAGCCUGAUGCAGCGACGCCGCGUGGGGGAUGACGGCCUUCGGGUUGUAAACCUCUUUCGACGGGGACGAAGUGAAAAUGACGGUACCUGUAUAAGAAGCACCGGCUAACUACGUGCCAGCAGCCGCGGUAAUACGUAGGGUGCGAGCGUUGUCCGGAAUUACUGGGCGUAAAGAGCUCGUAGGUGGUUUGUCACGUCGUCUGUGAAAUUCCGGGGCUUAACCUCGGGCGUGCAGGCGAUACGGGCAAUACUUGAGUGCUGUAGGGGAGACUGGAAUUCCUGGUGUAGCGGUGAAAUGCGCAGAUAUCAGGAGGAACACCAAUGGCGAAGGCAGGUCUCUGGGCAGUUACUGACGCUGAGGAGCGAAAGCAUGGGUAGCGAACAGGAUUAGAUACCCUGGUAGUCCAUGCCGUAACGGUGGGCGCUAGGUGUAGGGGACUUCCACGUUCUCUGUGCCGUAGCUAACGCAUUAAGCGCCCCGCCUGGGGAGUACGGCCGCAAGGCUAAAACUCAAAGGAAUUGACGGGGGCCCGCACAAGCGGCGGAGCAUGUGGAUUAAUUCGAUGCAACGCGAAGAACCUUACCUGGGCUUGACAUACACCGGACCGGCGUAGAGAUACGUCUUCCCUUGUGGCCGGUGUACAGGUGGUGCAUGGUUGUCGUCAGCUCGUGUCGUGAGAUGUUGGGUUAAGUCCCGCAACGAGCGCAACCCUUGUCUUAUGUUGCCAGCACGCGAUGGUGGGGACUCAUGAGAGACUGCCGGGGUCAACUCGGAGGAAGGUGGAUGACGUCAAAUCAUCAUGCCCCUUAUGUCCAGGGCUUCACACAUGCUACAAUGGUCGGUACAGCAGGUCGCGAACUCGUGAGAGUAAGCCAAUCCUUCAAAGCCGGCCUCAGUUCGGAUUGGGGUCUGCAACUCGACCCCAUGAAGUCGGAGUCGCUAGUAAUCGCAGAUCAGCAACGCUGCGGUGAAUACGUUCCCGGGCCUUGUACACACCGCCCGUC
Molecule: ribosomal RNA, 1372 nt
Filed under: uncultured bacterium
Lineage: Bacteria
Description: bacterial SSU rRNA
Rfam family: Bacterial small subunit ribosomal RNA
Source: RNAcentral